AAAUUAGCACAGCCCAAAACGCCAGGUCGAGGUGUAGCAUAUGAGAGGGGAAGAAAUGGGCUACAUUCCCUGUUCUUUCUGGGAAUACGAACAAUGUAAUGAAAUAUACAUUAGAAGGAGGAUUUAGCAGUAAGCAUAAAAUAGAGUGUUUUGCUGAAAUUGGCCCUGAAGCGCGCACACACCGCCCGUCACCCUCCCUGACCCAACAAAUCAAAGACUU
This 220-nucleotide ribosomal RNA is filed under the name Andinoacara rivulatus (green terror). RNAcentral's name for it is "partial small subunit ribosomal RNA". Lineage: Eukaryota; Metazoa; Chordata; Actinopteri; Cichliformes; Cichlidae. The record is from RNAcentral.